AAACAGGCCGUUUCUGGCCUCCGGAGGGCCUGGGGAGGGGUGGGAAAGGCCGUUUUCCACCCUCCCAGACUCAUAGAGGGGCUCUGGAGACAGAUAAGCUGAGGCAUCCCAGCAAGAACAUUUUUUCGCCAGAUUUCCAGAUAGGACAUGGAGAUGGAGUAUUUGCAUUUAUCUUCUGAAGCAUCCCUUGUCAUCUGCAAGACAUCUCGAACAGCUCGAGGGAUCACUCCUGGGUGAUCUGGACUUCCCAGCAUGGUGUGUGUCUUGC
This is a long non-coding RNA of Ahaetulla prasina, 268 nucleotides long. RefSeq lists it as uncharacterized. NCBI's taxonomy places the organism in Eukaryota, Metazoa, Chordata, Lepidosauria, Squamata, Colubridae. The transcript is spliced from 3 exons. The record is from RefSeq and is a predicted model, not a curated record.